UAACCUAAUAUUAGAUUAAGAAGUAUCACAGGUAUCCUAUCAAAAUAAUAUUUUAUUGAUAGUUCACAUGACUGUGUUAGGUGGGUAUUUAUUAAUUCAAGGUAUGUUUAUUAUUUAUUAUAUUGAGGCAGUCCACCUGGUACGGAGGUUGGUGGAGCAGUAUAGGGAGAGGAAGAAGGAUCUGCACAUGGUGUUCAUCGACCUGGAAAAGGCGUACGACAAAGUCCCCAGGGAAGUGCUUUGGAGAUGCUUGGAGGUGAGUGGAGUACCGCAGGCAUAUAUCAGAGUAAUUAAGGAUAUGUAUGAGGGAGCAAAAACCCAGGUGAGGACGGCGGGAGGAGACUCUGAGUAUUUCACUGUCCUGACAGGAUUGCAUCAGGGAUCUACUCUUAGUCCCUUUUUGUUUGCGUUAGUAAUGGAGGUGUUGACGCGGCGUAUCCAAGGGGAGGUGCCGUGGUGUAUGCUUUUUGCAGACGAUGUAGUCCUGAUACGUCAACACAUCCAUUACUAACGCAAACAAAAAGGGACUAAGAGUAGAUCCCUGGUGCAAUCCUGUCAGGACAGUGAAAUGCUCUGAGUCUCCUCCCGCCGUCCUCACCUGGGUUUUCGCUCCCUCAUACAUAUCCUUAAUUACUCUGAUAUAUGCCUGCGGUACUCCACUCACCUCCAGGCAUCUCCAAAGUACUUCCCUGGGGACUUUGUCGUACGCCUUUUCCAGGUCGAUGAACACCAUGUGCAGAUCCUUCUUCCUCUCCCUAUACUGCUCCACCAACCUCCGUACCAGGUGGAUUGCCUCCGUCGUCGAGCGGCCGGGCAUAAAUCCGAACUGGUUUUCCGAAAUAGACACUAUCCGUCUCAGCCUCACCUCGACCACUCUCUCCCAGAUCUUCAUAGAGUGACUCAGUAACUUAAUCCCCCUAUAAGUUUAAAGGGCUCUAAGACAUACCACAUAGGAUUGACUAUAACUUACCUUUAUAUAUAUAUAUAUAUAUAUAUUGAUUAUGCACAGAGGUUUUGAUUCGUUUUAACUCGAAUAUAAACUUUGUUUAGAUUAACCUCCAAUCUGAAAACGGUGUUGGAAAUCUAAACCAAGUUUAUUAGUUUGACUAGUUCCAUAUUACAAAAAAUAUUUUAAAUUAUUAUUUUAUUAGUUUAUAGUAAGCACACAAACUAACCAAAAAGGUUCAACAUUAACUAUAUAUAUAAAAUAUAAUUUUAAUUCUAUAUACAUAAUAUAAUUUUUCAUCGGGAUCGAAUGUGUUAGAGAACUGAUGAGUCAUCUUUUGCAUAAUUAUUCCUGCUUUACUCUGUUCUAUAUUCUUUAUGGGUGCCGUAUCUAUGUUACGUCAUCUGCUUCUGUGCUGUACUAUGUGUUUGUAUGAUGUCUCGUGACUUGAGCCGGGGGUCUUUCGGAAACAGCCUUUCUACCUCAUCAGAGGUAGAGGUAUGGACUGCGUACAUCUUACCCCCCCCAGACCCCACUAAGUGGGAAUACACUGGGUUUGUUGUUGUUGUUGUUGUGUAUUGAGGCAGCAGGCCUAGCAGUGACCCAGCUCUUGGUGCCUUUCGAACUAUAUAAUCGUGACACUGCAUAGUCCUUUAUAGACAUAGUGGCUCGUGGCCAGUGUGGCUCAUUUGGUGUGUGC
Molecule: long non-coding RNA, 1646 nt
Filed under: Capsicum annuum
Lineage: Eukaryota; Viridiplantae; Streptophyta; Magnoliopsida; Solanales; Solanaceae
Description: long non-coding RNA (CANN_LNC018520)
Source: RNAcentral